This 1991-nucleotide long non-coding RNA is filed under the name Marmota monax (woodchuck). Lineage: Eukaryota; Metazoa; Chordata; Mammalia; Rodentia; Sciuridae. The record is from RNAcentral.
UGGAGCCCAGGCUUUUGCAGAUCACACCCUCAACAGAGAUCCCCGUGGAUUUUGACUUGUACUUUUGUAGAGGGAACUGUGUGAGGCAGAGAUGAAGGGGCCACAGGAACCGCUCUGUGGGUGAGUGGGCCUGUGAUCAUUCACAUCUAUGCGGCAUCUUGCAUGAAUGUUUAUGGUAAAAUCAUGUGUUUUCUGCAGCCAGCCAUGGGGAGCUUGCCAAAGAAUGUGCAAUAAGGUGUCCUCUGUAUGGGCAUGUCCUAGCCAUCCCUGGUGCUACCAAGAGUGCCCUGACUCCUGUACGUUUUGCCAGUGGAGACCACAGAGCUGAUCUCAGGGUGGUUAGGGUGUGGCCCCAAACACACCUGCAAGCAGUAGAGACGUCUUCCUUGUCGUACAUGAGGACUUUCACACUGAGGGCCCCACUGCACAUGUCAAGGCUACAGUCCUGGCCCUGUACCGGCCAUAUCACUCCUACGAAGGACCCUGUAACAUCUAGGAGAAACUGCUUCAGUGGAAAAGUAUCACCAUUUAUGCUUACCCUCCUGGGCUGUCUGAUUCUAGACCUGCUCAUUAUACUCAGAUCAUUUCACAACUCUUUCUAGGUCAUGUGUAACUGAUAGACUGAUAGAUUUUGUAAAAUCUGUCUUGACUUGUAGAGAAUUGAUUGACUUCCUCCUCCGGAAGUCUGUUUUGUCUCUAUUUGCAUAUAAAUUCGUGAUCUUGAUUUUUUUUUUUUUUUUGCAUUAGGGAUUGAACCCAGUAGUGCUCAACCACUGAGCCACAUCCCCAGUCCUCUUUUUUGUUUUUUGUAUUUUAUUUAGAGACAGAGUCUCUCUGAGUUGCUGAGGGCCUCAUUAAGUAGCUGAGGCUGGCUUUGAACUCAUGAUCCUUCUGCCUCAGCCUCUCAAGCUACUGGGAUUACAGAUAUCCACUACCGCACCCAGCUUGACUAUCUAUAUGAGAGUGAUGGUUUCACUUUUUUCUGGAAAUUAUCUUUUCAGAAAUUAAUCAUGGGGGGAGGCAAAAAUCCUGGAAGGCAUAUACAGAAAAAUGUACUUAUCAUACAAUUAGCGGAGACUCAAGGGCAUGUUCCCUGGGACUUGCUGGGACUCCAGGCAGGCCAGUCCACAGCAACUCUGCUACAGGACUUGGCCCCAACACAUGGGCUCGGGCUAGCAGCUGUGAAAGGUCUGGGCCAGAGUCCAGCCUGCCACAGUUGGCACACCUAGCCCUCUCCUGGCUGCUGCCCCUUCUGAGAAAUAGUAAACUUGAAAUACCCAUCUAGAAGGCCACUCUUUGGCUAUAAGAAUUUCUUCUGGAAUGUGGACAACAAUUGAAGAUCAGCAAACGAUUCAUAUCAGAGGCUGCUUUGGAACAGCCAGUGUUUCCCGUGGUCCCAGGUCCUCACAGGAUAGCUCAGGUGAGAACUCAGUCCAUGUGCACUGGGCUGCUAUCGAUGCUCAAAUGUUGUGACAUCUCUUCCUAAUAAUAGUUCCAUAGGAGCUUGUGAAAAACAAAACCAAGAAAACAAGAGGCAAUUUUUCCUUGGUUGAAUAACUGCUUAUUAAUUUAUUUUCUUGUAAAAUCUAGUUAUCACAGCCGGAGGUGCACACCUUGAAUCCCAGCAGCUUGAGAGGCUGAGGUAGGAGGAUCGCAAGUUCAAAGACAGCCUCAGCAACUCAGCAAGGCCCAGAAGGACUUUGUGAAAUCUCAUCUCAAAGUAAAAAAAUAAAAUGGACUGGGAAUGUGGCUCAGUGGUUAAGUGCCCCUUUAAUUCCUGGUACAAAAAAAAAAAAAGUAUCCCAUUUGUAAUUAUGAAACACUGAGAAUGUUCAGGAAAAUGAAUGCAGGGAACAAUAAAACAGCCACUCAUUUUCAUUUCACCCAGAUUUAAAAGAUACCAUCUUGUCUUGUGGACUUCAAGUCAAAGUUUUUUAAGGAGAUACAAUGUAGCAAGUAUGAUUCCUGCCUGGUAACCACUUGGUUUCUUU